This 677-nucleotide ribosomal RNA is filed under the name Fusarium oxysporum. RNAcentral describes it as "eukaryotic LSU rRNA". The stretch from base 1 to 181 matches the Rfam family "Eukaryotic small subunit ribosomal RNA", at positions 1653 to 1831 of the family's 1831-position model. Lineage: Eukaryota; Fungi; Ascomycota; Sordariomycetes; Hypocreales; Nectriaceae. The record is from RNAcentral.
CUGCCCUUUGUACACACCGCCCGUCGCUACUACCGAUUGAAUGGCUCAGUGAGGCGUCCGGACUGGCCCAGAGAGGUGGGCAACUACCACUCAGGGCCGGAAAGCUCUCCAAACUCGGUCAUUUAGAGGAAGUAAAAGUCGUAACAAGGUCUCCGUUGGUGAACCAGCGGAGGGAUCAUUACCGAGUUUACAACUCCCAAACCCCUGUGAACAUACCACUUGUUGCCUCGGCGGAUCAGCCCGCUCCCGGUAAAACGGGACGGCCCGCCAGAGGACCCCUAAAACUCUGUUUCUAUAUGUAACUUCUGAGUAAAACCAUAAAUAAAUCAAAACUUUCAACAACGGAUCUCUUGGUUCUGGCAUCGAUGAAGAACGCAGCAAAAUGCGAUAAGUAAUGUGAAUUGCAGAAUUCAGUGAAUCAUCGAAUCUUUGAACGCACAUUGCGCCCGCCAGUAUUCUGGCGGGCAUGCCUGUUCGAGCGUCAUUUCAACCCUCAAGCACAGCUUGGUGUUGGGACUCGCGUUAAUUCGCGUUCCUCAAAUUGAUUGGCGGUCACGUCGAGCUUCCAUAGCGUAGUAGUAAAACCCUCGUUACUGGUAAUCGUCGCGGCCACGCCGUUAAACCCCAACUUCUGAAUGUUGACCUCGGAUCAGGUAGGAAUACCCGCUGAACUUAAG